AGUGGGAUAGCUGGGUCAAAUGGUGAUUCCAUUCCCAGUUUUCCAAGGAUUGUCCAUACUACUUUCCAGAUUGGUUGUACCAAUUUGCAGUUCCACCAGCAAU
This 103-nucleotide microRNA precursor is filed under the name Marmota monax (woodchuck). The record is from RNAcentral. Lineage: Eukaryota; Metazoa; Chordata; Mammalia; Rodentia; Sciuridae.